Molecule: ribosomal RNA, 237 nt
Filed under: uncultured bacterium
Lineage: Bacteria
Description: partial 16S ribosomal RNA
Rfam family: Bacterial small subunit ribosomal RNA
Source: RNAcentral
CACGCUGUAAACGAUGAAAACUAAGUAUUGCCGCGAGGCAGUGCUGUAGCUAACGCAUUAAGUUUUCCGCCUGGGGAGUACGCUCGCAAGAGUGAAACUUAAAGGAAUUGACGGGGGCCCGCACAAGCAGUGGAGCAUGUGGUUUAAUUCGACGCUACGCGAAGAACCUUACCUAGACUUGACAUCCCCUGAAUUACCUGUAAUGAGGGAAGCCCUUCGGGGCAGGGAGACAGGUGG